GAUGAACGCUGGCGGCGUGCCUAAUACAUGCAAGUCGAGCGAACAGACGAGGAGCUUGCUCCUCUGACGUUAGCGGCGGACGGGUGAGUAACACGUGGAUAACCUACCUGUAAGACUGGUAUAACUUCGGGAAACCGGAGCUAAUACCGGAUAAUAUAUUGAACCGCAUGGUUCAAUAGUGAAAGACGGUUUUGCUGUCACUUCUAGAUGGAUCCGCGCCGCAUUAGCUAGUUGGUAAGUUAACGGCUUACCAAGGCGACGAUGCCUAGCCGAACUGAGAGGGGGAUCGCCGACACGGGAACUGAGACACGGUCCAGACUCCUACGGGAGGCAGCAGUCGGGAAUCUGCCGCAAUGGGCGAAAGCCUGACGGAGCAACGCCGCGCGAGUUAUGAAGGUCUUCGGAUCGUAAAACUCUGUUACUAGGUAAGAACAAAUGUGUAAGUAACUAUGGACGUCUUGACGGUACCUAAUAAGAAAGCCACGGCUAACUACGUG
This 497-nucleotide ribosomal RNA is filed under the name uncultured bacterium. RNAcentral describes it as "partial 16S ribosomal RNA". It matches the Rfam family "Bacterial small subunit ribosomal RNA", at positions 28 to 507 of the family's 1533-position model. The record is from RNAcentral.